This 1019-nucleotide ribosomal RNA is filed under the name Aldisa banyulensis. RNAcentral describes it as "large subunit ribosomal RNA". The stretch from base 512 to 760 matches the Rfam family "Archaeal large subunit ribosomal RNA", at positions 1787 to 2143 of the family's 2987-position model. The record is from RNAcentral. Lineage: Eukaryota; Metazoa; Mollusca; Gastropoda; Nudibranchia; Dorididae.
AAUCUAUUUUAAUAUUUUAAAUUAAUAUAUUAUAUUUUAUUACAUUAAUGGAAGUAAGACAAAUUUUUAAGUUAAUAUUUUUUACCUUUUGUAUAAUGGCUAUACGAUAAUUGUAUUACAUAAUAGUUCCCGAAAAAAGAAGACAAAACUAUUAACGUUUUUUAGAAUAAAAAGAAACUAUGUUGAAAUAUGGUUCUAUAGAUUAAUAGUUAGGAGUGAAAAACUUUCAAUUCUUUAGAUAUCUGGUAGUUCUAGAAAAGCAUUUAGUGCUGUAUUAAGUUAGACAUAAAGUGUUUAGGUUUUAUGUUAAAAGAAUUUUAAAUUUAAAUCUAUUUCUUUAGAGUUAAUCCUACAAAGAAAAUAUGUUUGAAAAUAUUUAUUUUUAAAUUUAUCUUAUCUUUAUAGAACUUUUUUGGAUAGACUAGAUCCAUAAAAUAAUAAUGUAUAGAUAAGUAAUAACUGAAAACAUAUAUUAAAAAGAUUAAAGUUUUAAUAUAGUUUAAUAAUGGUAUAAUUUAAUUGGAGAAAAGGAACUCGGCAAAAAUAAAUUUCGACUGUUUAACAAAAACAUAGUCUUAGGACAAUUAUCUAAGAUAAAACCUGCCCAGUGUUAUUAAUAUAAAUGGCCGCGGUACUUUGACCGUGCUAAGGUAGCGCAAUCAAUUGACUUUUAAAUGAGGUCAGGUAUGAAUGGAAUAACGGGAUUUAGCUGUCUCUUUAACUAAUUUAUUGAAAUUACUAUAUAGGUGAAAAAGCCUAUGUUUAGAAAAAAGACGAGAAGACCCUUAGAGCUUGAUCUUAAGUUAAGAUUUUUUUUCAUUUUCUUAUAAUAGUUUUGUUGGGGCAACAUAGGAACAUAAAAAUUUCCUUUAUAAAAAUAUACCGAUGAUUAUAAAUCUAAAUAAGCUACCUUAGGGAUAACAGCAAAAUAUUAUAAAUGAGUUUGUGACCUCGAUGUUGGACUAGAAAACUAAUUGGUUAGCCGCUUAUUAGGAAGGUUCUGUUCGAACCAUAAUUUU